UUAAUUUAUUUUCUUGUGAGACUCAGAAUAUGCCGCUAGAUUAAACAAGAGUUUGGGUCCUCCGGCGGGCGCCUGGUUCCGGGCCGGUGAGGGCGCCGGGGCGGUCCCGCCGAAGCAACGUUCAGGUAUGUUCACAGGGGUUUGGGAGUUGAUAACUCGGUAAUGAUCCCUCCGCUGGUUCACCAACGGAGA
Molecule: unclassified non-coding RNA, 192 nt
Filed under: uncultured fungus
Lineage: Eukaryota; Fungi
Description: sequence contains ITS1
Source: RNAcentral